ACACAUGCAAGUCGAGCGGCAGCGGGAAAGUAGCUUGCUACUUUUGCCAGGCGAGCGGCGGACGGGUGAGUAAUGCCUGGGAAAUUGCCCAGUCGAGGGGGAUAACAGUUGGAAACGACUGCUAAUACCGCAUACGCCCUACGGGGGAAAGCAGGGGACCUUCGGGCCUUGCGCGAUUGGAUAUGCCCAGGUGGGAUUAGCUAGUUGGUGAGGUAAUGGCUCACCAAGGCGACGAUCCCUAGCUGGUCUGAGAGGAUGAUCAGCCACACUGGAACUGAGACACGGUCCAGACUCCUACGGGAGGCAGCAGUGGGGAAUAUUGCACAAUGGGGGAAACCCUGAUGCAGCCAUGCCGCGUGGGUGAAGAAGGCCUUCC
Molecule: ribosomal RNA, 376 nt
Filed under: Aeromonas hydrophila
Lineage: Bacteria; Pseudomonadati; Pseudomonadota; Gammaproteobacteria; Aeromonadales; Aeromonadaceae
Description: bacterial SSU rRNA
Rfam family: Bacterial small subunit ribosomal RNA
Source: RNAcentral